GAUGAACGCUGGCGGCGUGCCUAAUACAUGCAAGUCGAGCGAACAGAUGAGGAGCUUGCUCCUCUGACGUUAGCGGCGGACGGGUGAGUAACACGUGGAUAACCUACCUAUAAGACUGGGAUAACUUCGGGAAACCGGAGCUAAUACCGGAUAACAUAUUGAACCGCAUGGUUCAAUAGUGAAAGACGGUUUUGCUGUCACUUAUAGAUGGAUCCGCGCCGCAUUAGCUAGUUGGUAAGGUAACGGCUUACCAAGGCAACGAUGCGUAGCCGACCUGAGAGGGUGAUCGGCCACACUGGAACUGAGACACGGUCCAGACUCCUACGGGAGGCAGCAGUAGGGAAUCUUCCGCAAUGGGCGAAAGCCUGACGGAGCAACGCCGCGUGAGUGAUGAAGGUCUUCGGAUCGUAAAACUCUGUUAUUAGGGAAGAACAAAUGUGUAAGUAACUAUGCACAUCUUGACGGUACCUAAUCAGAAAGCCACGGCUAACUACGUG
This 497-nucleotide ribosomal RNA is filed under the name uncultured bacterium. RNAcentral describes it as "partial 16S ribosomal RNA". It matches the Rfam family "Bacterial small subunit ribosomal RNA", at positions 28 to 507 of the family's 1533-position model. The record is from RNAcentral.